UACGUAGGGGGCAAGCGUUGUCCGGAUUUAUUGGGCGUAAAGAGCGUUUAGGCGGCCUGACAGGUCUGCUGUGAAAACUCGAGGCUCAACCUCGAGAUGUCGGCGGAAACCGUCUGGCUAGAGUCCGGAAGAGGAGAGUGGAAUUCCUGGUGUAGCGGCGAAAUGCGCAGAUAUCAGGAAGAACACCUAUGGCGAAGGCAGCUCUCUGGAACGGUACUGACGCUGAGACGCGAAAGCGUGGGGAGCGAACAGG
This 253-nucleotide ribosomal RNA is filed under the name uncultured bacterium. RNAcentral describes it as "partial 16S ribosomal RNA". It matches the Rfam family "Bacterial small subunit ribosomal RNA", at positions 524 to 776 of the family's 1533-position model. The record is from RNAcentral.